AGAGUUUGAUUCUGGCUCAGAACGAACGCUGGCGGCAGGCCUAACACAUGCAAGUCGAGCGCGCCCUUCGGGGUGAGCGGCGGACGGGUUAGUAACGCGUGGGAACGUACCCUUUGGUAGGGAAUAGCCACUGGAAACGGUGAGUAAUACCCUAUGAGCCCUUCGGGGGAAAGAUUUAUCGCCAAAGGAUCGGCCCGCGUUAGAUUAGGUAGUUGGUGGGGUAAUGGCCUACCAAGCCUACGAUCUAUAGCUGGUUUUAGAGGAUGAUCAGCAACACUGGGACUGAGACACGGCCCAGACUCCUACGGGAGGCAGCAGUGGGGAAUCUUGGACAAUGGGGGCAACCCUGAAUCCAGCCAUGCCGCGUGAGUGAAGAAGGCCUUAGGGUCGUAAAGCUCUUUCGCCUGUGAAGAUAAUGACGGUAGCAGGUAAAGAAACCCCGGCUAACUCCGUGCCAGCCGCCGC
Molecule: ribosomal RNA, 465 nt
Filed under: uncultured bacterium
Lineage: Bacteria
Description: bacterial SSU rRNA
Rfam family: Bacterial small subunit ribosomal RNA
Source: RNAcentral